RNAcentral lists this transfer RNA (73 nucleotides) under Actinomycetes bacterium. RNAcentral describes it as "Actinobacteria bacterium tRNA-Thr". It matches the Rfam family "tRNA". From Rfam's summary of the family: Transfer RNA (tRNA) molecules are approximately 80 nucleotides in length. Lineage: Bacteria; Bacillati; Actinomycetota; Actinomycetes. RNAcentral also lists the same sequence under 2 other names. The record is from RNAcentral.
GCCGGAGUAGCUCAGUUGGUAGAGCGCCUGUCUUGUAAACAGGGGGUCAGCGGUUCGAGUCCGCUCUCCGGCU